Molecule: ribosomal RNA, 253 nt
Filed under: uncultured bacterium
Lineage: Bacteria
Description: partial 16S ribosomal RNA
Rfam family: Bacterial small subunit ribosomal RNA
Source: RNAcentral
UACGUAGGUGGCAAGCGUUAUCCGGAUUUAUUGGGCGUAAAGAGAACUCAGGCGGUCUUUUAAGUCUGAUGUGAAAGCCUUCGGCUUAACCGGAGUAGUGCAUUGGAAACUGGGAGACUUGAGUGCAGAAGAGGAGAGUGGAACUCCAUGUGUAGCGGUGAAAUGCGUAGAUAUAUGGAAGAACACCAGUGGCGAAAGCGGCUCUCUGGUCUGUAACUGACGCUGAGGUUCGAAAGCGUGGGUAGCAAACAGG